GAUGAAUGCUAAAGACUGGAAGACAUGAGAACUGAAAACCAUAAUGUCUUGAAGAUAACAGUAGGGA
Non-coding RNA from Nematostella vectensis (starlet sea anemone), 67 nucleotides. Lineage: Eukaryota; Metazoa; Cnidaria; Anthozoa; Actiniaria; Edwardsiidae. The record is from Rfam.